This 489-nucleotide ribosomal RNA is filed under the name Streptococcus sp. oral taxon C65. RNAcentral describes it as "bacterial SSU rRNA". It matches the Rfam family "Bacterial small subunit ribosomal RNA", at positions 28 to 500 of the family's 1533-position model. Lineage: Bacteria; Bacillati; Bacillota; Bacilli; Lactobacillales; Streptococcaceae. The record is from RNAcentral.
GACGAACGCUGGCGGCGUGCCUAAUACAUGCAAGUAGAACGCUGAAGAGAGGAGCUUGCUCUUCUUGGAUGAGUUGCGAACGGGUGAGUAACGCGUAGGUAACCUGCCUUGUAGCGGGGGAUAACUAUUGGAAACGAUAGCUAAUACCGCAUAACAAUGGGUGACACAUGUCAUUUAUUUGAAAGGGGCAAUUGCUCCACUACAAGAUGGACCUGCGUUGUAUUAGCUAGUAGGUGAGGUAACGGCUCACCUAGGCGACGAUACAUAGCCGACCUGAGAGGGUGAUCGGCCACACUGGGACUGAGACACGGCCCAGACUCCUACGGGAGGCAGCAGUAGGGAAUCUUCGGCAAUGGGGGCAACCCUGACCGAGCAACGCCGCGUGAGUGAAGAAGGUUUUCGGAUCUAAAGCUCUGUUGUAAGUCAAGAACGAGUGUGAGAGUGGAAAGUUCACACUGUGACGGUAGCUUACCAGAAAGGGACGGCUAA